UUAUAAGGAAGGCGUCGGUCCUCUGUUUCAGCUUCUCUCUAGAAGGACUUAGCACUGGCAUUUCUGAUCUUGUAAACACAAGACUUAAAAAAAUAA
This 96-nucleotide long non-coding RNA is filed under the name Microtus ochrogaster (prairie vole). RNAcentral describes it as "HOTAIR conserved region 3 (ENSMOCG00000007942.1)". It matches the Rfam family "HOTAIR conserved region 3". Lineage: Eukaryota; Metazoa; Chordata; Mammalia; Rodentia; Cricetidae. The record is from RNAcentral.